Molecule: ribosomal RNA, 477 nt
Filed under: Conchiformibius sp. canine oral taxon 289
Lineage: Bacteria; Pseudomonadati; Pseudomonadota; Betaproteobacteria; Neisseriales; Neisseriaceae
Description: bacterial SSU rRNA
Rfam family: Bacterial small subunit ribosomal RNA
Source: RNAcentral
GAGUUUGAUCAUGGCUCAGAUUGAACGCUGGCGGCAUGCUUUACACAUGCAAGUCGGACGGCAGCACGGGUGCUUGCACCUGGUGGCGAGUGGCGAACGGGUGAGUAAUGCAUUGGAACGUACCGAGUAGUGGGGGAUAACUGUCCGAAAGGAUAGCUAAUACCGCAUACGACCUCAGGGUGAAAGCAGGGGACCUUAGGGCCUUGCGCUAUUUGAGCGGCCAAUGUCUGAUUAGCUGGUUGGUGGGGUAAAGGCCUACCAAGGCGACGAUCAGUAGCGGGUCUGAGAGGAUGAUCCGCCACACUGGGACUGAGACACGGCCCAGACUCCUACGGGAGGCCAGCAGUGGGGAAUUUUGGACAAUGGGCGCAAGCCUGAUCCAGCCAUGCCGCGUGUCUGAAGAAGGCCUUCGGGUUGUAAAGGACUUUUGUACGGGAAGAAAAGGUUGUGGAUAAUACCCAUGACUGAUGACGUACC